GAUCCAACAAAGAUGAAUUUUCAUUGCUAUAGUGAUCCUCCCUGCGACGGAAAGCUGAGAUGGCCAGAGCUGGUGGGUGCAACAAUAGCCAAAGCAAAAGCAAAAAUCAUGAAAGACCAUUCGGAUCCUGACCUCAAAAUUUUCAUCGUGCGGCCAAACAUGGUAGCCCGCGCUGACUACUGCUGCAACCGAGUUCAACUCUCUGUUAACUGGUCUGGAAUUGUUAAUAGCGUACCCUAUAUCGGGUGAUGUUGAACUUUUACAGUUACAGAUACUGCACCUGGAGAACAGAGAUAUAUGAUGCAGGUUGUUGUACUGUAGAAUAAGGAAAUUCUGUGUUUUACUUCAUUUGCAGGAGAAUAAUAACAAAAUGAGUGUUCUUGAAUUUUAUUCUUUAACGAACAUGAUUACAACAUUCGAGUA
Molecule: long non-coding RNA, 423 nt
Organism: Papaver somniferum (opium poppy)
Lineage: Eukaryota; Viridiplantae; Streptophyta; Magnoliopsida; Ranunculales; Papaveraceae
Exons: 2
Source: RefSeq, a predicted model, not a curated record